Long non-coding RNA from Mus musculus (house mouse), 969 nucleotides. RefSeq annotates it as predicted gene, 35814. The transcript is spliced from 4 exons. The record is from RefSeq and is a predicted model, not a curated record. Lineage: Eukaryota; Metazoa; Chordata; Mammalia; Rodentia; Muridae.
GAGACAGAGCUAGGAAAACAAUAAGUUCAAAACCAGCAUGGGCUAUCUGAGAAGAUUAAAAACAACAGAGUCUGAUACCUGGGUCUUUCCCAUCAGCCUUGGAGCACUUUAAAGGUUAAAGUGUCUUGGAAGCCAGAUGGAAUAUUUUCUCAUUUGAAGGAAAAGGAGAUGCCAAGAAAGUACAGUGUCAGGUAAACCCAGCAUUGCAGUUUGCCGAAGAGAAGAGACAUCUCUAACUGAGGAAGCGCUAAUGUCUUAGCAGGAAAACCGGAGUUCCAUGGAGGGAGAGCUGAAAGUCAUGUCUGAAAGACAGAAAGUGUCUAAAUGAAACAAAUGGAAGUCAUCAGAAACUAUGGCAUGUCUGCACACAGGGGACAACCACAGAGCCCAGUGGUCACAGACAGAAGAACUUGGAUAUUGCAAUAGAUGAUGUGGUAAUAGAUUGCAACAGUAAUUAUUGAGAGAAUAAACUCACGUUAAUGCAGUACAAUCUGGCUUUGAAUUCACUAUGUAGUCCAGACUAGCCUCCGAGCUGCAGUGAAGCCACUAGCCUCAACUUCCUGGAAGCUAUGACAGCUGACAGCCGGAGCGAGCAAAGCAUGCCUGCUUGUGAAGUGACUCUAAGUACAUGAUGAGCAAGGCUUGACCAGAGCACGUGGGGUCAAGUGACCUGGAGUUUGGACUUCUCAAAGAAGACUUGCCAUAUGCAGUAGGAUAUUCUGGAAAAGAAUCCCAAUGUAAAUUCAAAAUUUAUGCUUUACACAACCCUGUACUUUCUCUGAAAGUAACUAAACACAGCAGUUUACACCGUUUUGUACAUCAGUUUCAUGAGGUGGAAUGUUCCACUUGUUAGUGUGAAACCCACUGGGGAAGCCAGCCUAUAGUGUUACUGUCUAUAGUGUUGCUAGUGGUAGCUCAAGGUUUUGUUUGUUUGCUUGAUAAUAAAAAGUGGCAAUAAACAGAUCUAUC